Leptopilina heterotoma is the source of this 380-nucleotide long non-coding RNA. RefSeq lists it as uncharacterized. The record is from RefSeq and is a predicted model, not a curated record. Lineage: Eukaryota; Metazoa; Arthropoda; Insecta; Hymenoptera; Figitidae. The transcript has 3 exons.
GUUCAAAGUGUUCAGACGUGAAAUAUAAGUGAAAAGUAACGCGCAAUUGUUAAAAGUAUUAAAGUCUAUUGUAAUAAAUAAAACGAUAACAGGAAUCUUUGAGCGACAUAAUCAGCAUUUCAUCAAGCAUCAUCAAGUAAACCAAACGUGUAAAUAGUUGGAAAUUGGAAAUAGUUGGGAAAGAAUUUGGAAUUCUCUGGUUUUGGGUGAAGGAAAUACUAACGAGAAUCGGUGCAGAAUUUCAAAAACAAGUGAAAAAAAGAUAUGGCUUCCAAUGCUAAUUACUAAAAGGGACACUGAAGAAGUAUUAUCACAUUUUUUGUAAGGCUCCCAAUGCAAAUUACGAAAGCGGACACUGAGGAGGUAUUGUCAAAUUUUUG